RNAcentral lists this small RNA (2267 nucleotides) under Oryza sativa Japonica Group (Japanese rice). RNAcentral describes it as "sRNA Os06g0676300". The stretch from base 250 to 337 matches the Rfam family "mir-160 microRNA precursor family". The record is from RNAcentral. Lineage: Eukaryota; Viridiplantae; Streptophyta; Magnoliopsida; Poales; Poaceae.
ACCUCACCCACACCCACUGUUCUUGGCCAUAGCUGCCUACUCCCAUGGUCUCCUCGUCCUUGCCCUUGUGCUCGAUCGAUCACCAGCCGAGCUGAUUUUUCUCUUCUGCUUGAUCUCUACCUCUGACAUGCAUCUGAAGACCGGAGAGCAUCUGCAUCUGCCUAUAUCAUCCGGUCAUGGAUAUGGAUAGAUGACCGGCCUGUUCAUGUCUGAAGAAAAAUCAAAGGUUUGGUUUUGAUCGGCUUGAGAGCGUGCCUGGCUCCCUGUAUGCCACUCAUGUAGCCCAAUCCAUGGUGUGUUUGGAUGCUGUGGGUGGCGUGCAAGGAGCCAAGCAUGCGUGCCAUGAUCUCUCUUUCUGCCUUAAUUCAGUUUCAGACAUGUGUAGUUGGAUUUGUUUCCUCUAGGUGUUCAUGUUAAUUACAUAUUUCAUGUUGAUUUUGCCCGUUUGGAUAUGUGUUUGUCUGCUUGGUUUCGAAUUGUUUUAGCAGGGGGGCAGAACUAAUCAAGGAUACUGCAAAUCGUUGGAAUUAAUUUCUUGUUCAAUCUUGAUCCAGAUAACUAUGAGAGCUUUUAAUCACAACGAGAAAAGGUAAUCUCUCUCUAUCAGCUGCCCCUUUUUCUUCUACUAGUUUAUAUUUAGAUCGCAUUCAUACUCUUGACUAGCUCGCUGCAGUUUAUUUGCAUAUGUUUUCCCAGCAAGAUCUAAUUAGAUACUUAGAUGAGAUUUGGACUGUAUGGUAAUUUUGUUACUUCUCCUUGCGCAUUUGUAUUUCUGUUUAUUUGUAUUUAUUCUCUGCUAGUACUGGAGUACUUGUUAUGUUGCGUGUAAUUAAUUAAGCAAUGUUAAUUAAGUAAAUUGUUAAUGUACAUACAUACAUGAGGUCAUUUCUUGGUUUUCGUCUUGUACUUUAGUUCUUGAAUUGUUCACUGGGCUGGCACUUAGAAAAAGCAUAACGAUUUAGUUUAAUUGAGAAAUGCCUAUGGGUCUUCCCGGCUAGCUCCAUAAGGUUGUCGGCUAGAUGACCUGGAUUCGAAGCUUCACAACUUCUAAUUAUUUGAUAUUAGGUCAUUCCCUAAUAUUCACGUCUUUUUAUUUAGUUUAAUUCUUUUUUCAAAGAAAAAACUGACACGUAUUUAAAUUUCUGCUAGAAAUGGCCAUCUGUGGGAUAGGGAUAGAAAGCUUCAGUUACUAGUACACACUAGCUAGUUGUUUGUUUGAUUUGGCCAAGAAAUCUGAAGAGAUAUGGAUUGUGUUCUUUGAAAUUCAUUACCUUUCUUCACUGUACUUAUCGUGUGCGGUCAUCCAUGCUUGGACGAAUUUCUUCUCUCUUUCUUAAGAUCAAAGAUUAAGCACCCAUCAUAUUGUGCCUUAAGUACGUAAUCCAAUAAAGUUCAACAUUAGGUUUGGCUCCUUAAUUUGUACACUUAAUUAUUACAUAUGCGCUUCCAAUUUUUAGAUGAAUAAUGAUUCUUUUGCAGCAAGAUAAACUUAAACACACACAGGUGAAACUUUUAGAUGGAAGGUACACUUGCUCUGACGGUAGCAAAAGUUGAUCAUGCCCUACUUUAGCUGUAACAUGAGACAUGUCAGCAUAUGCUUACAUGCAUGAAUCAGCAGGGCUACAGUUUUAUUAUUUGCUUUGACAGCUUUCUCUCAACAAUCAUUCUCAUUAUAUUUUUUAUCCUAGGCUCCUUAGGAACAUAGUAAUUUUACAGGAUUUUUGCUGAAAUCGAUCAGUUCAGUUCCCGCAAAAUUCCACUGAAAAUUAAUCCUCUACUCCAAAGGCCUCUCUCUCUCUCUCUCUCUCUCUCACGUAGGAUUUGCCACUGAGGUCUCAGCAUCAAUGGUGGCAAAUUCUAGGUUUUGAUUAAUUUUUUAGAUAAUGAGGUUUUGAUUAAUUAGAAAACUAUGCAGUGCAUUGUAUCAGAAUGACAGAUAUAACAUCAAUUCAUGUAGAUAACUAAAGAACCUCUUAUAUAUCUAUCUCUGGGGUAGUACUAGUGAUUUAAGUAGUACUGUAAUCGGGCUUUGCUGAUGCGAACUUCCUCUGAAACUUUUGCUAGCUAAAACCAAAAUGCGGGACUGAUGAUCAGCAUGGAGAGCAGCCUCAAUUUAUUUGUAGACGCUCAAGAUUACUUGCAGAUCUGUCAGAAGUAAUACUGCCACAAUGAGGAUGUUUUAUGGUUAUAUAGGCUAAAAUAUAUAUGAGUAAUAUUCCAUGCAUGUCUAUCAGCAUUGUAACUAGCUAUACAGGAUAAAAAUUCAC